AAACAAGAUACAACAAGUGUUAUGGUUUCGGCCCAUAAAAAGGCAAAAUCUUGCCCUUGUUUU
This 63-nucleotide transfer RNA is filed under the name Rectidens sumatrensis. RNAcentral describes it as "tRNA-Arg". The record is from RNAcentral. Lineage: Eukaryota; Metazoa; Mollusca; Bivalvia; Unionida; Unionidae.